GAUGAACGCUGGCGGCGUGCCUAAUACAUGCAAGUCGAGCGAACAGACGAGAAGCUUGCUCCUCUGACGUUAGCGGCGGACGGGUGAGUAACACGUGGAUAACCUACCUAUAAGACUGGGAUAACUUCGGGAAACCGGAGCUAAUACCGGAUGAUAUUUUGAACCGCAUGGUUCAAUAGUGAAAGACGGUCUUGCUGUCACUUAUAGAUGGAUCCGCGCCGCAUUAGCUAGUUGGUAAGGUAACGGCUUACCAAGGCAACGAUGCAUAGCCGACCUGAGAGGGUGAUCGGCCACACUGGAACUGAGACACGGUCCAGACUCCUACGGGAGGCAGCAGUAGGGAAUCUUCCGCAAUGGGCGAAAGCCUGACGGAGCAACGCCGCGUGAGUGAUGAAGGUCUUCGGAUCGUAAAACUCUGUUAUUAGGGAAGAACAUAUGUGUAAGUAACUGUGCACGUCUUGACGGUACCUAAUCAGAAAGCCACGGCUAACUACGUG
This 497-nucleotide ribosomal RNA is filed under the name uncultured bacterium. RNAcentral describes it as "partial 16S ribosomal RNA". It matches the Rfam family "Bacterial small subunit ribosomal RNA", at positions 28 to 507 of the family's 1533-position model. The record is from RNAcentral.